AGUGAACGCUGGCGGCAGGCCUAACACAUGCAAGUCGAACGGCAGCACAGUAAGAGCUCGCCCUUACGGGUGGCGAGUGGCGGACGGGUGAGGAAUACAUCGGAUUCUACUUUUUCGUGGGGGACAACGUAGGGCAACUUACGCUAAUACCGCAUACGACCUACGGGUGAAAGCAGGGGAUCUUCGGACCUUGCGCGACUGAAUGAGCUGAUGUCGGAUUAGCUAGUUGGCGUGGUAAAGGCACACCAAGGCGACGAUGCGUAGCUGGUCUGAGAGGAUGAUCGGCCACACUGGAACUGAGACACGGUCCAGACUCCUACGGGAGGCAGCAGUGGGGAAUCUUAGACAAUGGGCGCAAGCCUGAUCCAGCCAUACCGCGUGGGUGAAGAAGGCCUUCGGGUCGUAAAGCCCUUUUGUUGGGAAAGAAAAGCAGCAGGUUAAUACCCCGCUGUUCUGACGGUACCCAAAGAAUAAGCACCGGCUAACUUCGUG
Molecule: ribosomal RNA, 492 nt
Filed under: uncultured bacterium
Lineage: Bacteria
Description: partial 16S ribosomal RNA
Rfam family: Bacterial small subunit ribosomal RNA
Source: RNAcentral